AAUUCGUGGUGUAGCGNUGAAAUGCUUAGAUAUCACGAAGAACUCCGAUUGCGAAGGCAGCUUGCUGGACUGUAACUGACGCUGAGGCACGAAAGCGUGGGGAUCAAACAGGAUUAGAUACCCUGGUAGNCCACGCNGUAAACGAUGAAUGCUAGCUGUUAGCGAUAUACUGUUAGCGGCACAGAGAAAUCGUUAAGCAUUCCACCUGGGGAGUACGCCGGCAACGGUGAAACUCAAAGGAAUUGACGGGGGCCCGCACAAGCGGAGGAACAUGUGGUUUAAUUCGAUGAUACGCGAGGAACCUUACCUGGGCUUAAAUUGCAGUGGAAUAACGUGGAAACAUGUUAGCCUUCGGGCCGCUGUGAAGGUGCUGCAUGGUUGUCGUCAGCUCGUGCCGUGAGGUGUCGGCUUAAGUGCCAUAACGAGCGCAACCCUCAUCGAUAGUUAUUAACAGGUUAAGCUGAGGACUCUAUCGAGACUGCCGACGUAAGUCGUGAGGAAGGUGGGGAUGACGUCAAAUCAGCACGGCCCUUACGUCCAGGGCUACACACGUGUUACAAUGGGGGGUACAAAGGGCAGCUACCUGGCGACAGGAUGCUAAUCUCUAAAACCUCUCUCAGUUCGGAUUGGAGUCUGCAACCCGACUCCAUGAAGCUGGAUUCGCUAGUAAUCGCGCAUCAGCCACGGCGCGGUGAAUACGUUCCCGGGCCUUGUACACACCGCCCGUCAAGCCAUGGGAGCCGGGGGGACCUGAAGUAUGCAACCGUAAGGAGCGUCCUAGGGUAAAACUGGUGACUGGGGCU
Molecule: ribosomal RNA, 803 nt
Filed under: uncultured prokaryote
Description: bacterial SSU rRNA
Rfam family: Bacterial small subunit ribosomal RNA
Source: RNAcentral